AAUGCAGAGGUGGGGGACAGAGUGGGUGGGGAGGGGAGCCGCCAUACAGUGGCCAGGACCAGCUUUGCCCAAGUGGUGGCAACCGCAUGACCACAGGAACGAUGGCGUGAGCCCCGUGGCAACCUGGAGGAAGGGGUGUGAGAAGAAAACAUUAGAACUUCUAUUUUGUACCUGUGUUACUCCACAACAAGAAAGCAAUCAGCUUGAUCAAUGCCUACUGUAAAGACGGCACCGCCCUCCGGAGGUCCUUUCUCAGCCCUGGUGUUCGGACAGCCACAUCCCCUCGCAGCAGGGGGAGGCCUGAAGCAUAGAGGGGCCCAUGCAGGUCUAUUCUGUUUCAGCGAAUUGCCUGGGAAAUAAUCCAGGAUCCAUUUCGUGUGGUCAUCUUGUCUCCCUGGUCCCCUCCAGCCUUUCCUCAUCUUUUGUGACCUGGUCACUCUGGAAGGGCGCUGGCCAGUUAGUCCACAGGAUGGGCCUCCCCUGGGGCUUUUCUGAUGCUUCCUUAUGAUGGCACUGGCAUCCUGAGGGGGAGGACCACAGAGAGGAGGUGCUCCUCAUCACACCACAUGGGGGUCCAUGCACCAGUGCCACUGCUUUCCAGGGCUCUUCACCUUCAUCACUGGUGGAGGUGGCGUCUGCCAAGAAGCAGAAAGUUGAGGCUUAGAAGGUGCACGGCCCUACCUCUUCCGAGGUGCCCCUGCGGGCUGUCUACAGACCAGGCAGCACAUGCCUGAUAGCAGCUGCAUAAGGAAAAGCAGGAGCCAGCUCGUGCACAGUGGCCUCAAGUGUGCACUGGGCAUGUUCUCUGCCUCACCAUCCCUGUGUGACAGAUGAAGCAUGGCAAGCCAGGCUCCAGAGAAGCAUCCUGAGGACCAGUGUUCCUAGGGACCUCAUUCUUCUGACCUCAUUCCUACAACGUUUUGUCACUGCAAAGGAAAUCACCAAGGCCAGCAUGACAGCCCUCAACAGAAGCCAAGGCCAAGUCCUCGAACUUCCUAGUCUGCACAAUGACAAGUGAGCUCAUGGAAACCUCUCCAUCGUUGACCAGGAUCUAUAGGAAAACCCUCCUCUUCUUCUAUAUGCAAAGGCUGCACAGCUCCUGGUUCACCUGCACCUCUCCAGACCACCAUGGUGCCUGCAGCUCUGAGGGCAUUUUAAAUCAUCACAGAACAACAAGCAUAUAAGCAUCAUGAGCGCCUCUGGACCUCUGACGUGCCUUGUGGAGGCCUGCCAGGCCCACGUUUUAAUUUACAUGAACUCGAUGCCCUUUUUGACAGGGAGAGAUCUGUUUCUUUAUUUGUUAGCCUUUCCCCUGGACCUGCUAGAUCUGGACCAUCCCCAGGAAAGGAAGGUCACACCACAAAGAUAAAUAUAAACAAAAUGAGUUAAUUAAGAA
This 1396-nucleotide long non-coding RNA is filed under the name Homo sapiens (human). RNAcentral's name for it is "long intergenic non-protein coding RNA 1471". The record is from RNAcentral. Lineage: Eukaryota; Metazoa; Chordata; Mammalia; Primates; Hominidae.